UUAUGUUUUUUUUUUUACUUAAGGCUAUGCUUUUUUUGUGCCUAUUAUAAAGGGUUGUUAUUACAAAUUUUUAUUUUUAUUUUUUUGAAUAGAUACACAAAAGUAAGAAAAAAAGAAUCUACUUGUUUUUCUGGUUGUAUACAUAAUUCUAGUUUUUUUUUCUUUCCAAAAAAAAUAUAAAAUUUGGUGUUUGAAGAUCCAUUUGACUAGGACACUAUUUUGAUCAUCUAUUUAAAUUCAUUUCAUUUUCUUGAUUCUUGAAAAAAAAUGAUCAUUGUAUAGAGAGAUUAGUAUAUUUAUACGUUUCGUAUACACGUAUAUGCCUGGCUCCCUGUAUGCCAUUUGCAAAGCUCAUCGUAAUAUAUCGAUGGGCCUUGUUGAAUGGCGUAUGAGGAGCCAAGCAUAUUCCGAUAUCGUGUAUAUGAUGUUGAAAUAUGUGACCAUCUCAUCGUAUAUAGUUAAUAAAGGUAGCUCUAAUUUUUUUAUUUUUUUUGUUUUGAGAUCUAUGUUUAGGUUAUGGUGAUUGUUGAAGAAUUCUUCAUUUUCAGUUGCAACAGAUCUAGUGGAGACAAGAUGUGGAUUGUAGCUCAGAGGAUUAAAGAACGUGGCUCCAAACCACGAUGUCAGGGGUUCGAAUCCCUCCUCGCCCACAAUCGGCCCAAAAGGGAUACAAGAAGGGCCGAACCACAAGGGAUCUAUUGUGCGUAACUUCACCUUAUAUUUUUGCAAGAGCCUGCUUCACGACUUGAACAUGUGACCUUCUUAUCACAUUACAACACCUUUACCGGUUACUUUAAAAUUCUGUUUUCCUUUUCUUUUUUUAAAAAAGACAAUCUAGUGUAUUAAAAUUCUCGCUAUGUGCACAGUCUGGGAAGGGCCGAACUACAAGGGGUUUAUUGUACAUAGUCUCACCUUAUAUUUUUGCAAGAAACUAUUUCAUGAAUGAACAUGUGACUUUCUUAACA
This is a long non-coding RNA of Capsicum annuum, 965 nucleotides long. RefSeq lists it as uncharacterized. The transcript has 3 exons. The record is from RefSeq and is a predicted model, not a curated record. Lineage: Eukaryota; Viridiplantae; Streptophyta; Magnoliopsida; Solanales; Solanaceae.